This 494-nucleotide ribosomal RNA is filed under the name uncultured bacterium. RNAcentral's name for it is "bacterial SSU rRNA". It matches the Rfam family "Bacterial small subunit ribosomal RNA", at positions 30 to 507 of the family's 1533-position model. The record is from RNAcentral.
AUGAACGCUAGCGGCAGGCUUAAUACAUGCAAGUUGAGGGGCAGCAUGAUAUACGCGAGUAUAUUGAUGGCGACCGGCGGACGGGUGAGUAAUAGGUAGGAGACCUACCUCAUACAGGGGGAUAGCAUAGAGAAAUCUGUGGUAAUGCCCCAUGAGGUUAUAUGAAUAGAGGCAUAUAAUCAAAGCAUAAGCGAUUAUGCGGUAUGAGAGGGGCCUACUGACCAUUAGCUAGUUGGUGAGGUAAGGGCUCACCAAGGCGAAGAUGGUUAGGGGUUUUGAGAGAGAGACCCCCCACAUUGGAACUGAGAGACGGUCCAGACUCCUACGGGAGGCAGCAGUAGGGAAUAUUGGGCAAUGGGCGAAAGCCUGACCCAGCCAUGCCGCGUGAAGGAAGACGGCCUUAUGGGUUGUAAACUUCUUUACUACGCGAAUAGAGGUUAGUACGAGAUACUAAUAGGAAGGUAGUGUAGUAAAAAGCACCGGCUAACUCCGUG